Molecule: ribosomal RNA, 448 nt
Filed under: uncultured prokaryote
Description: bacterial SSU rRNA
Rfam family: Bacterial small subunit ribosomal RNA
Source: RNAcentral
UCGGGAAUCUUGCACAAUGGGCGAAAGCCUGAUGCAGCAACGCCGUGUGAGCGAGGAAGGUCUUCGGAUCGUAAGGCUCUGUUGUUGGGGACGAAGGGCGAAGGGUUAAUAGCCCCUAGCCUGACGGUACCCUUCGAGGAAGCCCCGGCUAAGUACGUGCCAGCAGCCGCGGUAAUACGUAGGGGGCGUGCGUUGUCCGGAAUUAUUGGGCGUAAAGAGCGUGUAGGCGGCCUGGUAAGUCUGACGUGAAAGGCUGGGGCUCAACCCUGGACGUGCGAUGGAUACUGCUAGGCUAGGGGAUGGUAGAGGAGAGUGGAAUUCCCGGUGUAGCGGUGAAAUGCGCAGAUAUCGGGAGGAACACCAGUAGCGAAGGCGGCUCGCUGGGCCAUUCCUGACGCUGAGACGCGAAAGCGUGGGGAGCAAACAGGAUUAGAUACCCGGGUAGUCC